Molecule: long non-coding RNA, 614 nt
Filed under: Apteryx owenii (little spotted kiwi)
Lineage: Eukaryota; Metazoa; Chordata; Aves; Apterygiformes; Apterygidae
Description: lncRNA (ENSAOWG00000004543.1)
Source: RNAcentral
AUGUGGGACAGCAGCUCCCAGCAUGCCUUGCUACCUACCCUAGAGCUGGGCUACCUCUCCCAGCAUGCCCUGCUGCCCCUUCUAGAGCUGCUGGAGCUGGACUACAUCUCCCAGCAUGCCUUGCUGCCUGUCCUAGAGCUGGCCUACAUCCCCCAGCAUGCCCUGGCGUGUGUUCUAGAGCCACCAGGACCCGGACUACAUCUCCCAGCAUGCCUUGCUGCUCAUCCCAGAGCCACCAGGAGCUGGGCCAGAUCUCCCAGCGUGCCUUGUUCCCCCUCCGUUUGGGGCUGGAUAUCUCCCAGCAUGCCCUGCUGUGUGUUCUGGAGCUGCUGGAGCUGGACUACAUCUCCCAGCAUGCCUCGCUGUGCCUCCCGGAGCCACCAGGAGCUGAACUACAUCUCCCAGCAUGCCUCACUGCCCCUUCUAGAGCUGGACAGCUCCCAGCAUGCCCUGCUGUGUGUUCUAGAGCCACUGGAGCCGGACUACAUGUCCCAGCAUGCCCCGCUGCGUGUUCUAGAGCCGCUGGAGCCGGACUACAUGUCCCAGUGUGCCUUACUGCCCCUUCCAGAGCUGCCCUAGCCUCCCGGUUUGCCUCGCUGCCGCUUCCAGAGCCG